GGACAGAUGGCCGAGUGGUCUAAGGCGCUGUCUUCAGGCGGCAGUCUUCGGGCGUGGGUUCGAAUCCCACUCUGUUCA
Molecule: transfer RNA, 78 nt
Filed under: Cronartium ribicola 11-2
Lineage: Eukaryota; Fungi; Basidiomycota; Pucciniomycetes; Pucciniales; Coleosporiaceae
Description: tRNA-Leu (CAG) (tRNA-Leu-CAG-1-1)
Rfam family: tRNA
About the family: Transfer RNA (tRNA) molecules are approximately 80 nucleotides in length. Their secondary structure includes four short double-helical elements and three loops (D, anti-codon, and T loops).
Source: RNAcentral